This 375-nucleotide ribosomal RNA is filed under the name Vibrio cholerae. RNAcentral's name for it is "bacterial SSU rRNA". It matches the Rfam family "Bacterial small subunit ribosomal RNA", at positions 535 to 909 of the family's 1533-position model. Lineage: Bacteria; Pseudomonadati; Pseudomonadota; Gammaproteobacteria; Vibrionales; Vibrionaceae. The record is from RNAcentral.
CAAGCGUUAAUCGGAAUUACUGGGCGUAAAGCGCACGCAGGCGGUUGAUUAAGUUAGAUGUGAAAUCCCCGGGCUUAACCUGGGAAUGGCAUCUAAGACUGGUCAGCUAGAGUCUUGUAGAGGGGGGUAGAAUUCCAUGUGUAGCGGUGAAAUGCGUAGAGAUGUGGAGGAAUACCGGUGGCGAAGGCGGCCCCCUGGACAAAGACUGACGCUCAGGUGCGAAAGCGUGGGGAGCAAACAGGAUUAGAUACCCUGGUAGUCCACGCUGUAAACGAUGUCGAUUUGGAGGUUGUUCCCUUGAGGAGUGGCUUCCGGAGCUAACGCGUUAAAUCGACCGCCUGGGGAGUACGGCCGCAAGAUUAAAACUCAAAUGAA